Molecule: long non-coding RNA, 276 nt
Organism: Dicentrarchus labrax (European seabass)
Lineage: Eukaryota; Metazoa; Chordata; Actinopteri; Moronidae
Exons: 2
Source: RefSeq, a predicted model, not a curated record
GCCACUAGCAUUGGGCCAUUGGGCUUGCUUCUGAAGUUGACUGACCUGAACAGGAACCUGGCACAAAGAGAAUGAGCGGGACUAAGGCUGCAGACGCCAGCGGAACAAGACCUAUCUUGCCCGGAUUUCCAAUACACAGCUGCACAACAACGGCAGCUUCCCAAACUCUUUUCCACUGACCUAUUUUUUGAAGAGAAAAAAAUCUGCCAAAUGCAAAAAUGAGUUGCAAUAAAGAUAAAGUGAAGAUGAGAAUAAAACUUUACUAACAUACAUAGA